GUCCACGCUGUAAACGAUGAGUACUAGCUGUUGGGAGGCAUAGCCUCUUAGUGGCGCAGCUAACGCGAUAAGUACUCCGCCUGGGGAAUACGGCCGCAAGGCUAAAACUCAAAGGAAUUGACGGGGGCCCGCACAAGCGGUGGAGCAUGUGGUUUAAUUCGAUGCAACGCGAAGAACCUUACCUACCCUUGACAUCCUGUGAACCCGAUAGAGAUAUUGGGGGUCCGAAAGGAAUACAGAGACAGGUGCUGCAUGGCUGUCGU
RNAcentral lists this ribosomal RNA (263 nucleotides) under uncultured bacterium. RNAcentral's name for it is "partial 16S ribosomal RNA". It matches the Rfam family "Bacterial small subunit ribosomal RNA", at positions 793 to 1055 of the family's 1533-position model. The record is from RNAcentral.